CUUACCUACGGGGCGCAGCAGUGGGGAAUAUUGCACAAUGGGGGAAACCCUGAUGCAGCGACGCCGCGUGAGUGAAGAAGUAUCUCGGUACGUAAAGCUCUAUCAGCAGGGAAGAAGAUGACGGUACCUGACUAAGAAGCCCCGGCUAACUACGUGCCAGCAGCCGCGGUAAUACGUAGGGGGCAAGCGUUAUCCGGAUUUACUGGGUGUAAAGGGAGCGUAGACGGCAGCGCAAGUCUGGAGUGAAAUG
This 250-nucleotide ribosomal RNA is filed under the name uncultured bacterium. Its description in RNAcentral is "partial 16S ribosomal RNA". It matches the Rfam family "Bacterial small subunit ribosomal RNA", at positions 332 to 601 of the family's 1533-position model. The record is from RNAcentral.